This 2002-nucleotide long non-coding RNA is filed under the name Homo sapiens (human). Its description in RNAcentral is "HSALNT0002133". Lineage: Eukaryota; Metazoa; Chordata; Mammalia; Primates; Hominidae. The record is from RNAcentral.
CUCCUCAAUGAUAGAUUGUGGCCAAAACAAUAGGAUGUCACUUUCAGCACUGAGUCACAAAGCGUGGGCUUGCUUGUCCUCCACCCCUCUCCCUGGUGGGCUCUGAGGAAAGCCAACGGCCGCAUUGUAGGGGUGCCUUGCAGGAGCCCGACGUGGCAAGGAAGAAGGGAGGCCCUGGGCCUUACGACGACACCACAGCCUCGCUGACCCUUGGCAGUAGCCCUGAGACACAGGACCCGGCUCAGCAGCACCCAGAUCCCUGACCCACAGAAAGAGCAAGACGAUCAGUGUCUGUUGUUUUAAACUCUUCAAGUUUGGGGGGUAAUUUGUGACGCAGCUGUAGAUAACAAAUACACCUUCUCUCACUUCUGCCCCCGUCACUCUGUCCCCUGACCCGGCUUUACUUUUCUUUGUUUCUUUGUUAGUUUGUUUUGAGACAGAGUCUCACUCUGUUGCCCGGGCUGGAGUGCAGUGCGACAAUCUCGACUCACUACAACCUCCGCCUCCCGGGUUCAAGCGAUUCUCCUGCCUCAGCCUCCUGAGUAGCUGGGAUUGCAGGCACGCGCCACCACGCCCGGCUAAUUUUGUAUUUUUCGUAGAGACGGGGUUUCUCCAUGUUGGUCAAGCUGGUCUCAAACUCCUGACCUCAGGUGAUCUGCCCGCCUCGGCCUCCCAAAGUGCUGGGAUUACAGGCGUGAGCCACCGCGCCCAGCCUCCGGCUUUACUUUUCUUUGCAGCAUUUUGUGGAAGGGAACCUCCCUUACUCCUCUCAGUGUCCCCAGUGCCAGCCUGAUGCCUGGAUCCACGCAGGUACUCAGUGAUGACACUGAAUGAAUGAAUGGGUGAAGAAAUGCAAGUCCUCAGAAAGAAAAUGCCAGAGCUCAGAAAAGCCAGAAGUAGGGGGCUCAGGAUGGGGAGGCCAGCUAACCCCAAUCCCAGCUGCCCCAGGGGUCACUACCCACUUUACGCAGGGCCUGGGGACGCUGGUCCCCCACCUCUUCAGCACGAUGUUGCCCUGACCCUAGAACCUUGGUCCUGGUGGUCAGGCCCCAAGGGUCAGGCUCUUCGGGUCCCCUUGGGGAACUGGUCCCAGCCUCAUGCUUUGCCCAGACCAUACAAUUUGGAUUGUCCUAUGCCUGCUGGACUUCAGGCCUAUUUUCUCCAUUUGGUGUGGAGAUUUGCUAAAUGCCUCAUUUAGAGUGAGCUCAUUUUAUGCCCUUGUCAGUCUUUUCAUGAAAAUAUUUCGAUAAGAAAAGAAUGCUAUUCCAGCCCACGUGUCCUGAUUUUUGUUUGGAAAACAAUCCCUGUGCCCAUAAAAAGGAAAGGACUGCUGAGUCCAGUCCCCUCCUGGCCCUGUCCCUAAUGGGGCCCAGGCUGUGCCAGGGAUCCAGAGGCUAAAGCACAUUCCAGCAAAAACACUGGCCCCCGCUUGGAACCCAGAGCCCAGUCUGGGUCCGGCAAGGGGCUGGCCCUGUGCCCACCUAACUGAGCCAUUUCCUUCCAGACUGGGGCACAUUUCCUGCCCGGAGGGAACAGAGCACAUUCCCAGGCGGCAUGGACUGGGUCCUGCAUUGGGGGAGGGGAUUCCGUAGGCAUUUUCCCAACCCCAGCGACCACGCCCUGGGAUGAGAGGCCUGUCCUGGUGGUAGGGCUAGGAGCACGGUUCAAAGGGUGCUGCUGGAGCUGUCCAAGGGGUGGCCAUUCUUCGGGGAAUGAGCUGAAACCACCCGGCCCUGCCUUGGGUGCAGCCUGCUCUGUAUCCCAGGUGUGCUGAGCGUAGAGCGAGAAGGAUCCUUGAGUCACCCCUGCCUGCUCCCAAGCAGCAGUCUUCGGGAGGAGAUCAGGACCCAGACGCACAUCGAGGGACCACCAUGUGCAGACACAGAGAGAAAGCAGCAUCUGCAAGCCAUGGACAGAGGCCUCAGAAGAAACCAGCCCACUGACACCUUGGUCUCCAGCAUCCAGCCUCCAGAACUGUGAGAAAAUACAUUUCUAUUGUCUA